ACGCUGGCGGCAGGCCUAACACAUGCAAGUCGAGCGGUAGGGAGAAGCUUGCUUCUCUUGAGAGCGGCGGACGGGUGAGUAAUGCCUAGGAAUCUGCCUGGUAGUGGGGGAUAACGUUCGGAAACGGACGCUAAUACCGCAUACGUCCUACGGGAGAAAGCAGGGGACCUUCGGGCCUUGCGCUAUCAGAUGAGCCUAGGUCGGAUUAGCUAGUUGGUGGGGUAAUGGCUCACCAAGGCGACGAUCCGUAACUGGUCUGAGAGGAUGAUCAGUCACACUGGAACUGAGACACGGUCCAGACUCCUACGGGAGGCAGCAGUGGGGAAUAUUGGACAAUGGGCGAAAGCCUGAUCCAGCCAUGCCGCGUGUGUGAAGAAGGUCUUCGGAUUGUAAAGCACUUUAAGUUGGGAGGAAGGGCCGUUACCUAAUACGUGAUGGUUUUGACGUUACCGACAGAAUAAGCACCGGCUAACUCUAUGCCAGCAGCCGCGGUAAUACAGAGGGUGCAAGCGUUAAUCGGAAUUACUGGGCGUAAAGCGCGCGUAGGUGGUUUGUUAAGUUGGAUGUGAAAUCCCCGGGCUCAACCUGGGAACUGCAUUCAAAACUGACUGACUAGAGUAUGGUAGAGGGUGGUGGAAUUUCCUGUGUAGCGGUGAAAUGCGUAGAUAUAGGAAGGAACACCAGUGGCGAAGGCGACCACCUGGACUAAUACUGACACUGAGGUGCGAAAGCGUGGGGAGCAAACAGGAUUAGAUACCCUGGUAGUCC
This 768-nucleotide ribosomal RNA is filed under the name uncultured bacterium. Its description in RNAcentral is "bacterial SSU rRNA". It matches the Rfam family "Bacterial small subunit ribosomal RNA", at positions 33 to 796 of the family's 1533-position model. The record is from RNAcentral.